GGCUGGUCUGAAGCGUGAGUUAUCUCAUGUGAUUAUUCACAGUCAGUUACAGAUUGAACUCCUUGUUCUACUACUUUCCCCCCUCACUACUGCACUUGACUAGUCAAAA
RNAcentral lists this Y RNA (109 nucleotides) under Microcebus murinus (gray mouse lemur). RNAcentral's name for it is "Y RNA (ENSMICG00000043757.1)". It matches the Rfam family "Y RNA". Rfam says of the family: Y RNAs are components of the Ro ribonucleoprotein particle (Ro RNP), in association with Ro60 and La proteins. The Y RNAs and Ro60 and La proteins are well conserved, but the function of the Ro RNP is not known. The record is from Rfam by way of RNAcentral. Lineage: Eukaryota; Metazoa; Chordata; Mammalia; Primates; Cheirogaleidae.